Molecule: non-coding RNA, 73 nt
Organism: Cricetulus griseus (Chinese hamster)
Lineage: Eukaryota; Metazoa; Chordata; Mammalia; Rodentia; Cricetidae
Source: Rfam
GGGGAGAUGGCUCAGUGGUUAAAAGCACUGGCUGCUCUUCUAGAGAACCUGGGUUCAAUUCCCAGUACUCACA